GUUAGCGGCGGACGGGUGAGUAACACGUGGGCAACCUGCCUGUAAGACUGGGAUAACUUCGGGAAACCGAAGCUAAUACCGGAUAGGAUCUUCUCCUUCAUGGGAGAUGAUUGAAAGAUGGUUUCGGCUAUCACUUACAGAUGGGCCCGCGGUGCAUUAGCUAGUUGGUGAGGUAACGGCUCACCAAGGCAACGAUGCAUAGCCGACCUGAGAGGGUGAUCGGCCACACUGGGACUGAGACACGGCCCAGACUCCUACGGGAGGCAGCAGUAGGGAAUCUUCCGCAAUGGACGAAAGUCUGACGGAGCAACGCCGCGUGAGUGAUGAAGGCUUUCGGGUCGUAAAACUCUGUUGUUAGGGAAGAACAAGUAUGAGAGUAACUGCUCGUACCUUGRCGGUACCUAACCAGAAAGCCACGGCUAACUACGUGCCAGCAGCCGCGGUAAUACGUAGGUGGCAAGCGUUAUCCGGAAUUAUUGGGCGUAAAGCGCGCGCAGGCGGUUUCUUAAGUCUGAUGUGAAAGCCCACGGCUCAACCGUGGA
Molecule: ribosomal RNA, 542 nt
Filed under: Bacillus zanthoxyli
Lineage: Bacteria; Bacillati; Bacillota; Bacilli; Caryophanales; Bacillaceae
Description: bacterial SSU rRNA
Source: RNAcentral